RNAcentral lists this ribosomal RNA (595 nucleotides) under Didymium quitense. RNAcentral's name for it is "SSU rRNA". It matches the Rfam family "Eukaryotic small subunit ribosomal RNA", at positions 5 to 561 of the family's 1831-position model. Lineage: Eukaryota; Evosea; Eumycetozoa; Physariida; Didymiaceae. The record is from RNAcentral.
UGGUUGAUCCUGCCAGUAGUGUAUGCUUCUCCUAAAGACUAAGCCAUGCAUGUCUUCGAAUAAGAGGAAGCAAUUCUCUCUGAAUCUGCGAACGGCUCCGCAUACCAGUUGUAAACUAUAGCAAGCAAGCCUGGGCUGCCUUCACGGGUGGCUCGGGUAAUAUGGAUAACCCUGGUAAUUCUGAGGCUAAUACAAGAACGUAACCCCUCGCUGACUGGGUAACUGGGAGGCUGGGAGACGUGCGCGUUGUGUCGUGGGAUUGCCAGGAAGGGACGCACGUCUGGACCGCGCUACAAAGGUUCCCUCCCUCAAAAGGGGGUUCCCAGCGGCUCUUGCUGUGUGCUUCUGACCUAUCAACUAGAUGGCAGCGUAAGGGACAUGCUAUGGUAACAACGGGUACAGAGGAUUAGGGUUCGAUCCUGGAGAGUGGGCCUGAGAGAUUGCUCAUACUUCUAAGGAAGGCAGCAGGCGCGCAACGUUCCCCUUGGGCAAAGCUUGAGGGCGUUAGGGGACAUAUGAAUGCUUGCCCUAUGGGUGAGCAAUUCAAAUGGGUCUGUUGUAAACAGGCUCUCGAGUAACAAUUAGAGGACAAGUC